This 407-nucleotide ribosomal RNA is filed under the name uncultured bacterium. RNAcentral's name for it is "partial 16S ribosomal RNA". It matches the Rfam family "Bacterial small subunit ribosomal RNA", at positions 28 to 526 of the family's 1533-position model. The record is from RNAcentral.
GAUGAACGCUAGCUAUAGGCUUAACACAUGCAAGUCGAGGGACCGGCGCACGGGUGAGAAACGCGUAUCCAACCUGCACAUAACUAAGGGAUAACGCAGCGAAAGCUGGACUAAUACCUUAUGGUUAUGGAUGGGUAUGCGUCUGAUUAGCUUGUUGGCGGGGUAACGGCCCACCAAGGCAACGAUCAGUAGGGGUUCUGAGAGUAAGGUCCCCUACAUUGGGACUGGGACACGGCCCAAACGCCUACGGGAGGCAGCAGUGAGGAAUAUUGGUAAAUGGGCGCAAGUCUGAACCAGCCAAGUAGCGUGCAGGAUGACGGCCUAUGGGUUGUUAACUGCUUUUAUAUGAGGAUAGGUACCAGAUGAAUAAGGCCCGGCUAAUUCCGUGCCAGCAGCCGCGGUAAUUC